UACGUAGGGGGCAAGCGUUGUCCGGAAUUAUUGGGCGUAAAGAGCGUGUAGGCGGUCCGGUAAGUCGGCUGUGAAAGUCCAGGGCUCAACCCUGGGAUGCCGGUCGAUACUGCCGGACUAGAGUUCGGAAGAGGCGAGUGGAAUUCCCGGUGUAGCGGUGAAAUGCGCGGAUAUCGGGAGGAACACCAAUGGCGAAGGCAGCCCCCUGGGCUAACACUGACGCUCAUGCACGAAAGCGUGGGGAGCAAACAUG
RNAcentral lists this ribosomal RNA (253 nucleotides) under uncultured bacterium. Its description in RNAcentral is "partial 16S ribosomal RNA". It matches the Rfam family "Bacterial small subunit ribosomal RNA", at positions 524 to 776 of the family's 1533-position model. The record is from RNAcentral.